This 441-nucleotide ribosomal RNA is filed under the name Bacillus sp. GR1-16. RNAcentral describes it as "bacterial SSU rRNA". It matches the Rfam family "Bacterial small subunit ribosomal RNA", at positions 46 to 475 of the family's 1533-position model. The record is from RNAcentral. Lineage: Bacteria; Bacillati; Bacillota; Bacilli; Caryophanales; Bacillaceae.
GCCUAAUACAUGCAAGUCGAGCGAAUGGAUUAAGAGCUUGCUCUUAUGAAGUUAGCGGCGGACGGGUGAGUAACACGUGGGUAACCUGCCCAUAAGACUGGGAUAACUCCGGGAAACCGGGGCUAAUACCGGAUAACAUUUUGAACCGCAUGGUUCGAAAUUGAAAGGCGGCUUCGGCUGUCACUUAUGGAUGGACCCGCGUCGCAUUAGCUAGUUGGUGAGGUAACGGCUCACCAAGGCAACGAUGCGUAGCCGACCUGAGAGGGUGAUCGGCCACACUGGGACUGAGACACGGCCCAGACUCCUACGGGAGGCAGCAGUAGGGAAUCUUCCGCAAUGGACGAAAGUCUGACGGAGCAACGCCGCGUGAGUGAUGAAGGCUUUCGGGUCGUAAAACUCUGUUGUUAGGGAAGAACAAGUGCUAGUUGAAUAAGCUGGCAC